This 702-nucleotide ribosomal RNA is filed under the name uncultured bacterium. RNAcentral describes it as "bacterial SSU rRNA". It matches the Rfam family "Bacterial small subunit ribosomal RNA", at positions 801 to 1504 of the family's 1533-position model. The record is from RNAcentral.
CGUAACGAUGAUACUAGUGUAGGGGUAUCGACUCCCCCUGUGCCGAGUAACGCAAUAAGUAUCCCGCCUGGGAGUACGGCCGCAAGGCUGAAACUCAAAGGAAUUGACGGGGGCCCGCACAAGCGGUGGAGUAUGUGGUUUAAUUUCGACGCAACGCGAAGAACCUUACCAAGCCUUGACAUUGAGUGCUAUCUCCAGAGAUGGAGAGUUCCUCUUCGGAGGACGCGAAAACAGGUGGUGCACGGCUGUCGUCAGCUCGUGUCGUGAGAUGUUGGGUUAAGUCCCGCAACGAGCGCAACCCUUGUCUUCUGUUGCCAGCACGUAAAGGUGGGGACUCAGGAGAGACUGCCGCAGACAAUGCGGAGGAAGGCGGGGAUGACGUCAAGUCAUCAUGCCCCUUAUGGCUUGGGCUACACACGUACUACAAUGGCUCUAAACAGAGGGAAGCGAAGGAGCGAUCCGGAGCGAACCCCAAAAACAGAGUCUCAGUUCGGAUUGCAGGCUGCAACCCGCCUGCAUGAAGCAGGAAUCGCUAGUAAUCGCAGGUCAGCAUACUGCGGUGAAUACGUUCCCGGGCCUUGUACACACCGCCCGUCACACCACGAAAGUCGUUCACACCCGAAGCCGGUGGGGUAACCGCAAGGAGCCAGCCGUCGAAGGCGGGGGCGAUGAUUGGGGUGAAGUCGUAACAAGGUAACCGUA